This is a non-coding RNA of Zonotrichia albicollis (white-throated sparrow), 1716 nucleotides long. The record is from RefSeq and is a predicted model, not a curated record. NCBI's taxonomy places the organism in Eukaryota, Metazoa, Chordata, Aves, Passeriformes, Passerellidae.
CCCGGCAGGAGCGGCCUUACGGAGAAAGGUUCAAAGCACUGAAGUUUAACCUUGGGACGUUUCCUAGGCUGGCACCGCGACCCGCCUGACGGGAGGGGAAGGGGCUGUGCUGGCAGAAGCACAAAGGAGUGGGUUUAAAGCAGGGGGAUCUGCCAGGAGUCUGCUGUAAGAGAGGCUCCGACGCCAUCCCGAUGGAGGUAUGGAUGUCACUGAGGAGAGAGGUGGGCGUGAUGAGGAAAAUUCCAUCUGAUAGACUCAACAACAUGACUUUGGAGUAUGAAAGGAUGGAGGAAUUCUCCUCAGCCCUGUGCUUCCUCUGGAUAUUACCUAGAGAUACUGCUGGAUGCUGAGAAAUGAGCUGGAUCAUGAUCUUAAUGACCGUGGGGUCCACGGGCCUACAACUGGGCCACCCAGAGAAGUGCAGCUCUUUGUGUGGUUUUGUUUUCACCCUCUUCUAUUAGCUGUGCCUCUGUCAUGUACAUUCUUAGAUAUUGUAAAGGAGCUCUUUAUCUUUAAUUUAGCUUAAUUUGACUUGCUUUAAGAGUGGUUUGGGAUAUGGGAAGACAUUAAGUCAUGCUGCUGGCUCUCACAGCACACCCCCAUUUUUUCAUGUAUCCAACAAGCUACAAGGUUGGCCCUCACUCAGACAGAGGGACCAGCAUGGAACAUGAUGCUGCAAGAGGAUUGUAUAAAGAAGUUCCAUGUCAUCUUGACGUAGCUGAGGCCAGUGAUGAAAUCUUUAAUGACCUGCACACGGCUUGGAUUUUAUCCUUCAGGGAUCACAGCCUGCUAUCUGCCCUUCUCUCCAAGGAAUGAGUAGUGGCAAGUCUCCUGAAAAGGAUCAACGUUUUUUAAAAUUGUGCAAAUAUGUGUGCUGGCAGGUGGCUAGCAAAUGUGUUUAAGGUAAACCAAUGUUGAAAUAAUCUGUUAUAAUGAAAUAUGCACUGAAGUCUGGAUUAGCUCUUCUGUACCAGCCAGCUGCUUCUUCCAUGCAGAACCUGCUGACUGUGAAUCCAUCUGCAUUUCCAAGAGGGUUGGACUUUGGUGUUUGAGAUGAUAAAAUAGAACUAUCUGAAAUGUGCAUAACUCCUAUUAUUCUUACUGUAUCAUUUCCCUAAAUAUUACUCAUAAGAGAAACAGAAAAACUUGUGCAAAAUAGCAAGCAGCACUUUCUUUUUUAGCAUGCAACAGGAACUGUUAUAAACAGCUGUUAAUAAAAGCACAUGGAGCAUUGUGUGGUGACUGAAGCAAGUUCUCCCCACAUCCUGCCCGGAGAUGGAGGGCUUCUCUAGUCUGAAGAUACAGGAAACAGCCAAGCCAGUCCCCCCAGAUCCUUUCACAGCAAUGCAACUGAACAAUUUAUUCAGAGUUAUGGGACCCCAUCUGCACUUGUAUCAAAAGCAUGUUUCUAUUUGCAUCUAAAUUUUCUAAUGUUCUCUUUCCUUGGAGGAUGGACAGAAAGGCUCAAAGUGGGCACCAGCUUUCUUUCUUUACUGUUCAACUAAUCAAACUCUCUUCCCCUGUUUUAAUUUUUGAUUUCCUCCUUCGCUAGGAAGAUUCCUUGCAUUCCUGUAUGGAUACCUCUCUCAUGCCUCAGAGGUUCUCUGUUGUAAUAAAUAAGAGGAGAAGGAGAAAAACUCCUUGUUCCACAUUAAAAUGUAGUGAGUUAAUGAUUUUUGAUUGUGCUAAUAAAUAUUUCCAAGUAUUUCAAUCCAA